GUAGGUGAACCUGCGGAAGGAUCAUUACCGGGUUCAGGGGGGGAAACCCCCCAACUCCCAACCCUUGCUUACCUACCACGUUGCUUCGGGGGGCCGUCCAGGCCCCCCGGAGGUCAAUCAAACUAUUUUUCCACAGACGUCCGAGCGAAUGCGAAAAUAAGUAAAAACUUUCAACAACGGAUCUCUUGGUUCUG
This 194-nucleotide unclassified non-coding RNA is filed under the name rhizosphere metagenome. RNAcentral's name for it is "partial ribosomal RNA internal transcribed spacer region". The record is from RNAcentral.